This 136-nucleotide ribosomal RNA is filed under the name Penicillium corylophilum. RNAcentral's name for it is "partial 28S ribosomal RNA". It matches the Rfam family "Eukaryotic large subunit ribosomal RNA", at positions 1 to 135 of the family's 3401-position model. Lineage: Eukaryota; Fungi; Ascomycota; Eurotiomycetes; Eurotiales; Aspergillaceae. The record is from RNAcentral.
UUGACCUCGGAUCAGGUAGGGAUACCCGCUGAACUUAAGCAUAUCAAUAAGCGGAGGAAAAGAAACCAACAGGGAUUGCCUCAGUAACGGCGAGUGAAGCGGCAAGAGCUCAAAUUUGAAAGCUGGCCCCCUCGGG